GGACAGGAAAGAGCAUGUUUGAACACAGUAGGAAGGCGGGCUGCAAUAUUUGAUGUUGACAUGAAAGCAUCACCUGUCUGAAUUCAUGUUACUCUCUGAGGGCUCCUUUUACGUACAGUGGAUUUCUGAUGAUUGUUUAGUUUAGUCUCUCACAGCUUCCUUUUAAUCCUAUCUCUUUACACUGUGUCCGUAAUGUCUGUGGUCUGUAGCAGCUCUGCGGGUUGGUUAUUGGAUGAACUCCAUCUUCUGGAUAAGUGGUACCAACGUGGAGGAGGGCUAUACACAACCACCACUUCUCCCUCCAAUUAUAUGAGUGACCAUGAGAGGACUGGGGUCACUUACAGAUUCAGAGAGGACUUGUUCCUGAUUCUUAAACCUCAUAUAAAACCAUCAAAAACUCUCACAUCUGAUACCUUAAAUGAUCCAGUGAAGAAUUCCCCCCUGACUGUCAAUAGCACUACCAACAGGAAGGCUAUCAGAAAG
Molecule: non-coding RNA, 483 nt
Organism: Pelobates cultripes (western spadefoot toad)
Lineage: Eukaryota; Metazoa; Chordata; Amphibia; Anura; Pelobatidae
Source: the annotation of a GenBank genome assembly